UACGUAGGGGGCAAGCGUUGUCCGGAUUUAUUGGGCGUAAAGAGCUCGUAGGCGGUUUGUCACGUCUGCUGUGAAAUCCCGAGGCUCAACCUCGGGCCUGCAGUGGGUACGGGCAGACUGGAGUGCGGUAGGGGAGAAUGGAAUUCCUGGUGUAGCGGUGGAAUGCGCAGAUAUCGGAAGGAACACCAGUGGCGAAAGCGGCUUCCUGGUCCAGCAUCGACGUUCAGGCACGAAAGCGUGGGGAGCAAACGGG
Molecule: ribosomal RNA, 253 nt
Filed under: uncultured bacterium
Lineage: Bacteria
Description: partial 16S ribosomal RNA
Rfam family: Bacterial small subunit ribosomal RNA
Source: RNAcentral